GCUCAGUCGGUUAAGUGGCUGACUCUUGAUUUUGGCUCAGGUCAUAAUCUCAUGGGUUGUGGGUUCUAGCCCCACAUUGGGCU
Felis catus (domestic cat) is the source of this 83-nucleotide non-coding RNA. The record is from Rfam. NCBI's taxonomy places the organism in Eukaryota, Metazoa, Chordata, Mammalia, Carnivora, Felidae.